AAAUUUAUUAUUAUUAUCAGAAGGGAAAGUACUAAAAACAAUUAUGGUGUGUUUUGUGAAAUAUCUUCUAACCUCAGUAACUAAAUGUCAACUUGUAUGAUUUAUCCUGAGCAGCAGGGGGUGCUAAACUGUCAACACUGACAAUGUCUCCUGUGUGGAUGAUGAUACUGUGGAAUACUUUUCUGUUUUGGUGAGGUCCAGUUAGGCAGACCAUCACCAGUGUUCUCUUCUGACCUAUAGUGUAUUUCCCUCCUGCGUUUUCUUUUACUGUACACUUUAAGAAAUGAUUACUCACUCUGAGACACAAUGUCAGGUCAGGUGGUGUUACCUGCUACUGGUACGAUGUAACCCAGCACAACCUGCCGCAUUGAAAAUGGGUAGCUGGUUUACCCAGGACUCAACAGUCACUGGCCAACCAUCAGACAUGGAGUGGGGCCCUAUGUAUAUGUUAGGCGUAAAGUUGACAUUCCAACUUAAUGCUAGCCCAAAUCGCAGACGUAUUGGCCAUGCCUCUCCUCUGAUUAAGAUGUACUGCAGGUGAGAGAAGCACUUGACAAGUACGAGGACAACCCCAGUUGCUUUAAACGUCCUGGCUAGAAGAUCAGCCCUAUAAAACCUAGCUGAUCAUCUUCUGCGUAGUCGGCAACAACUGAAGCGGGCCUGAACAAACUCACUCUGAGACACUCGUUGGCUUAGUUUUUCCAUUUGCACUUGUCUGUUAGUUACUUCUGUUUGUUGCUAUUGUGUCUUUAAGGUUGGUUAAGGAGUUUAGUAUUUUCAUUGUUAUUUUGUCUUAGCAAGUUUUCUAACUCUGUUAGCCCUUGUUUGGUUUUAUUUGGUUCUUUGAUUUGGUAACAACCUCGGAAUUGUCUGUAGGUGUGAAUGUGAGUGUGAUUGUCUCUACGUGUAGCCCUGUGAUAGACUGUUACCUGUCCAGGUGAACCUGUGAUAGACUGUUAGCUGUCCAAGUGAACCUGUGAUAGACUGUUACCUGUCCAAGUGAACCUGUGAUAGACUGUUACCUAUCCACGUGAACCUGUGAUAGAAUGUUACCUGUCCAGGUGAACCUUCACCCUCAGUUAGCUGGGAUAGACUCCAGCCCCCCAUUACCCUGAUGAGGAUUAAGUGGUAUAUAAAUAAUGGAUGGAUGGAUUUGUUAACAUCUUUGUAGCAUCAUCACCUUUUAUUUUGUUAAUUAUGUCGCUAAACAAUAAAUUGAGUUUCAUACCAUGAACACCUGGUUUUUGUUAUCUUUCUUGCUCCCCCUAGAAAUCUGG
Long non-coding RNA from Amphiprion ocellaris (clown anemonefish), 1277 nucleotides. NCBI's taxonomy places the organism in Eukaryota, Metazoa, Chordata, Actinopteri, Pomacentridae. The record is from Ensembl.